Molecule: ribosomal RNA, 468 nt
Filed under: uncultured bacterium
Lineage: Bacteria
Description: partial 16S ribosomal RNA
Rfam family: Bacterial small subunit ribosomal RNA
Source: RNAcentral
GACGAACGCUGGCGGCGUGCUUAACACAUGCAAGUCGAACGGAAAGGCCCUGCCUUUGUUGUGUGCUCGAGUGGCGAACGGGUGAGUAACCCGUGAGUAACCUUCCCUUUACUAUGGGAUAACUUCAGGAAACUGGGGCUAAUACCGGAUAGGAGCUCCUGCUGCAUGGUGGGGGUUGGAAAGUUUGGGCUGUCUGGGAUGGAUUGGUGGCUCAUCAGUUUGUUGGUGGGGUAGUGGCUUACCAAGGUUUCGACGGGUAGCCGGCCUGGGAGGGUGACCGGCCACAUGGGGACUGAGGGACGGCCCAGACUGCUACGGGAGGCGGCGGUGGGGAAUAUUGCACAAUGGGCGGAAGCCUGAUGCAGCAGCGCCGGGUGCGGGAUGACGGCCUUCGGGUUGUGAACCGAUUUCGCCUGAGACGUAGCGUGAGUGACGGUAAUGGGUAAAGAAGCACCGGCUAACUACGUG